AAGAUGCUCUAAGCCAGUUAGUUGCUCCCCUGUUGAUCACCCAUCAACAGCUCUGUUCCAUGAGUGCUUCAGCUUUCAUUGGCUACUGUACAGGGCAGCCUGAACCAUACUGCUUGUGAGUCUGUCAACAGUAGGGAUCGACCAAUUAUCGAUCUGGCCGAUGUUCAGCAUUAUGGCAAAUACUGGUAUCAGCCUAUAAUGCCUAUAACCGAUAUCAUCAGUAAUGC
Non-coding RNA from Pelobates cultripes (western spadefoot toad), 227 nucleotides. The record is from the annotation of a GenBank genome assembly. Lineage: Eukaryota; Metazoa; Chordata; Amphibia; Anura; Pelobatidae.